This 931-nucleotide ribosomal RNA is filed under the name uncultured bacterium. Its description in RNAcentral is "bacterial SSU rRNA". It matches the Rfam family "Bacterial small subunit ribosomal RNA", at positions 38 to 956 of the family's 1533-position model. The record is from RNAcentral.
GGGAUGCGGAGCUUUAACAUGCAGUCGAACGGCAGCACGAAAAAAGCUUGCUUUUUUUGGUGGCGAGUGGCGAACGGGUGAGUAAUAUAUCGGAACGUGCCCAGUAGCGGGGGAUAACUACGCGAAAGCGUGGCUAAUACCGCAUACGCCCUACGGGGGAAAGGGGGGGAUCGCAAGACCUCUCACUAUUGGAGCGGCCGAUUUCGGAUUAGCUAGUUGGUGGGGUAAAGGCCCACCAAGGCAACGAUCCGUAGCUGGUUUGAGAGGACGGCCAGCCACACUGGGACUGAGACACGGCCCAGACUCCUACGGGAUGCGCAGUGGGGAAUUUUGGACAAUGGGGGAAACCCUGAUCCAGCCAUCCCGCGUGUGCUAUGAAGGCCUUCGGGUUGUAAAGCACUUCUGGCAGGGAAGAAACGGCGCUGAAUAAUACUUGGCGCAACUGACGGUACCUGCAGAAUAAGCACCGGCUAACUACGUGCCAGCAGCCGCGGUAAUACGUAGGGUGCAAGCGUUAAAUCGGAAUUACUGGGCGUAAAGCGUGCGCAGGCGGUUCGGAAAGAAAGAUGUGAAAUCCCAGAGCUUAACUUUGGAAUGGGAUUUUUUAACUACCGGGCUAGAGUAUGUCAGAGGGGGGUACAAUUCGACGUGUAGCAGUGAAAUGCGUAGAGAUGUGGAGGAAUACCCGAUGCGGACCGCACCCCCCUGAGACAGUACUGACGCUCAUGCACGAAGGCGUGCGUAGCCAACUAGAUUACAUGCCAUGCUACUCCACGCCCUAAACGAUGUCAACUAGCUGUGGGGCCUUCGGUCCUUACUAGCGCAGCUCACGCGAGAGUUGACCCGCCUGGGGACUACCGGCGCUAUAUAAAACUCCGAAGUAUCGGACGUCACCCCGAACCAAGCGAGGGAUGAUGUGGAUUAUUCGAUG